AUUGAACGCUGGCGGCAGGCCUAACACAUGCAAGUCGAGCGGAAACGAGUUAUCUGAACCUUCGGGGAACGAUAACGGCGUCGAGCGGCGGACGGGUGAGUAAUGCCUAGGAAAUUGCCCUGAUGUGGGGGAUAACCAUUGGAAACGAUGGCUAAUACCGCAUAAUGCCUACGGGCCAAAGAGGGGGACCUUCGGGCCUCUCGCGUCAGGAUAUGCCUAGGUGGGAUUAGCUAGUUGGUGAGGUAAUGGCUCACCAAGGCGACGAUCCCUAGCUGGUCUGAGAGGAUGAUCAGCCACACUGGAACUGAGACACGGUCCAGACUCCUACGGGAGGCAGCAGUGGGGAAUAUUGCACAAUGGGCGCAAGCCUGAUGCAGCCAUGCCGCGUGUGUGAAGAAGGCCUUCGGGUUGUAAAGCACUUUCAGCAGUGAGGAAGGCGUAGUGGUUAAUACCGCUGCGCUUGACGUUAGCUG
Molecule: ribosomal RNA, 473 nt
Filed under: uncultured bacterium
Lineage: Bacteria
Description: bacterial SSU rRNA
Rfam family: Bacterial small subunit ribosomal RNA
Source: RNAcentral